Molecule: ribosomal RNA, 354 nt
Filed under: Escherichia coli
Lineage: Bacteria; Pseudomonadati; Pseudomonadota; Gammaproteobacteria; Enterobacterales; Enterobacteriaceae
Description: partial 23S ribosomal RNA
Rfam family: Bacterial large subunit ribosomal RNA
Source: RNAcentral
CUGUUCGCCAUUUAAAGUGGUACGCGAGCUGGGUUUAGAACGUCGUGAGACAGUUCGGUCCCUAUCUGCCGUGGGCGCUGGAGAAUUGAGGGGGGCUGCUCCUAGUACGAGAGGACCGGAGUGGACGCAUCACUGGUGUUCGGGUUGUCAUGCCAAUGGCACUGCCCGGUAGCUAAAUGCGGAAGAGAUAAGUGCUGAAAGCAUCUAAGCACGAAACUUGCCCCGAGAUGAGUUCUCCCUGACUCCUUGAGAGUCCUGAAGGAACGUUGAAGACGACGACGUUGAUAGGCCGGGUGUGUAAGCGCAGCGAUGCGUUGAGCUAACCGGUACUAAUGAACCGUGAGGCUUAACCUU